UACAGAGGUCUCAAGCGUUGUUCGGAUUCAUUGGGCGUAAGGGUGCGUAGGUGGCGCCGUAAGUCGGGUGUGAAAUUUCGGAGCUUAACUCCGAAACUGCAUUCGAUACUGCGGUGCUUGAGGACUGGAGAGGAGACUGGAAUUCAUGGUGUAGCAGUGAAAUGCGUAGAGAUCAUGAGGAAGACCAGUGGCGAAAGGCGGGGUCUCUGGGACAGUUCCUGACACUGAGGCAACGAAGGCCCAGGGGGAGCAAAACGGGGAUUAGAAAACCCCU
This 274-nucleotide ribosomal RNA is filed under the name uncultured bacterium. RNAcentral describes it as "partial 16S ribosomal RNA". It matches the Rfam family "Bacterial small subunit ribosomal RNA", at positions 524 to 790 of the family's 1533-position model. The record is from RNAcentral.